This 499-nucleotide ribosomal RNA is filed under the name uncultured bacterium. RNAcentral's name for it is "partial 16S ribosomal RNA". It matches the Rfam family "Bacterial small subunit ribosomal RNA", at positions 30 to 523 of the family's 1533-position model. The record is from RNAcentral.
AUUGAACGCUGGCGGUAUGCUUAACACAUGCAAGUCGAACGAUGAGAAAGAGCUUGCUCUUUCGAUUAGUGGCGGACGGGUGCGUAACGCGUAGGAAUCUACCUAUUAGUGGGGGACAACUUAGGGAAACUUAAGCUAAUACCGCAUACGCCCUACGGGGGAAAGAAGGGGAUCGCAAGACCUUUUGCUAAUAGAUGAGCCUGCGUAGGAUUAGCUAGUUGGUGGGGUAAAAGCUCACCAAGGCGACGAUCCUUAACUGGUUUGAGAGAAUGAUCAGUCACACUGGAACUGAGACACGGUCCAGACUCCUACGGGAGGCAGCAGUGGGGAAUAUUGGACAAUGGGCGAAAGCCUGAUCCAGCAAUACCGCGUGUGUGAAGAAGGCCUUAGGGUUGUAAAGCACUUUCAAUUGGAAGGAAAACCUCGAAGCUAAUACCUUCGAGUUUGACAUUACCUUUAGAAGAAGCACCGGCUAACUCCGUGCCAGCCGCCGCCGUAA